RNAcentral lists this ribosomal RNA (1200 nucleotides) under Staphylococcus pasteuri. RNAcentral's name for it is "bacterial SSU rRNA". It matches the Rfam family "Bacterial small subunit ribosomal RNA", at positions 53 to 1235 of the family's 1533-position model. Lineage: Bacteria; Bacillati; Bacillota; Bacilli; Caryophanales; Staphylococcaceae. The record is from RNAcentral.
ACUGCAAGUCGAGCGAAGAUAAGGAGCUUGCUCCUUUGACGUUAGCGGCGGACGGGUGAGUAACACGUGGAUAACCUACCUAUAAGACUGGGAUAACUUCGGGAAACCGGAGCUAAUACCGGAUAACAUAUUGAACCGCAUGGUUCAAUAGUGAAAGGCGGCUUUGCUGUCACUUAUAGAUGGAUCCGCGCCGUAUUAGCUAGUUGGUAAGGUAACGGCUUACCAAGGCAACGAUACGUAGCCGACCUGAGAGGGUGAUCGGCCACACUGGAACUGAGACACGGUCCAGACUCCUACGGGAGGCAGCAGUAGGGAAUCUUCCGCAAUGGGCGAAAGCCUGACGGAGCAACGCCGCGUGAGUGAUGAAGGUCUUCGGAUCGUAAAACUCUGUUAUCAGGGAAGAACAAAUGUGUAAGUAACUGUGCACAUCUUGACGGUACCUGAUCAGAAAGCCACGGCUAACUACGUGCCAGCAGCCGCGGUAAUACGUAGGUGGCAAGCGUUAUCCGGAAUUAUUGGGCGUAAAGCGCGCGUAGGCGGUUUUUUAAGUCUGAUGUGAAAGCCCACGGCUCAACCGUGGAGGGUCAUUGGAAACUGGAAAACUUGAGUGCAGAAGAGGAAAGUGGAAUUCCAUGUGUAGCGGUGAAAUGCGCAGAGAUAUGGAGGAACACCAGUGGCGAAGGCGACUUUCUGGUCUGUAACUGACGCUGAUGUGCGAAAGCGUGGGGAUCAAACAGGAUUAGAUACCCUGGUAGUCCACGCCGUAAACGAUGAGUGCUAAGUGUUAAGGGGGUUUCCGCCCCUUAGUGCUGCAGCUAACGCAUUAAGCACUCCGCCUGGGGAGUACGACCGCAAGGUUGAAACUCAAAGGAAUUGACGGGGACCCGCACAAGCGGUGGAGCAUGUGGUUUAAUUCGAAGCAACGCGAAGAACCUUACCAAAUCUUGACAUCCUUUGACCGCUCUAGAGAUAGAGUCUUCCCCUUCGGGGGACAAAGUGACAGGUGGUGCAUGGUUGUCGUCAGCUCGUGUCGUGAGAUGUUGGGUUAAGUCCCGCAACGAGCGCAACCCUUAAGCUUAGUUGCCAUCAUUAAGUUGGGCACUCUAAGUUGACUGCCGGUGACAAACCGGAAGAAAGGUGGGGAUGACGUCCAAUCUACAUGCCCCUUAUGAUUUGGGCUACACACGUGCUCCAAUGGAC